This is an RNA transcript of Neodiprion fabricii, 4254 nucleotides long. RefSeq lists it as uncharacterized. NCBI's taxonomy places the organism in Eukaryota, Metazoa, Arthropoda, Insecta, Hymenoptera, Diprionidae. The transcript is spliced from 9 exons. The record is from RefSeq and is a predicted model, not a curated record.
AUUUGGAACAAAGGUUUUUUAGCGUGUGUGCGAUAACUGAUUAACAUAAGAAUAAUUAUCUUUGGAAUAUCCGCAGACUAAUAUUAUAUCAGUUUAUUUUUAUUUUUAACGAAUACAUCGUUCGAUAUGCCGUGGUGGGAAAUUUUUAUCCGACAAUUUGCUUUAUUGCAAAGUUUAAUUACCGUAACAAUAUUUUUCGGGUCAAUGAAUAUUGAGGCUGCUCCCAUAGCAGACCUUAACUCUGUGAAUUUAACCACAGAGUUUAAUAUCACGGGAGAGUGUCUACCGCUGGGUGAAAUAGCGAAAUUCGAGAAAUACCCUACGGAAAAAAAUAAUGAUCCGCAAUCGGGUACCGGAUUUCCGGUUAUAAACGCCGCGGCUUUGACCAGCGACGAUUUCGCGAGGGUGGAAUAUAACAAUUCGGAAUUAUCGCCAUUUGGCGACGAUCAGGCAGACUGGAUGAGACUGAAAAUUCUUCACGAUCUCCUUCAGCGCCCUCAAGACGAUUUUUUGAAAUCCAACUUUCAAACGGUUUACAAGUUCUUGGUCACCGCUUACAAACGUCUGCGAAGUGGUAAUAAAAUUAUGGAAAACAGUCACAUGGAAGAUCGAAGUGGCGGAGAAAAUUCAAGUCUCGAGGACAGGGUGGAAAAAGAUGGAGAUAAGAGGGUCUUUCACACCUCGUCAACCUCCUCGACGUCUGACGGACUCCCUCACCGGCUUUAUCGCUCCACUCUCAUACACAGCGAGAUAAACGACGACGACGACGAAGAAAACGACUACGCAGAAUCGCUUGACGAUCUUUUGGAAACGACCGGCGUUGCGGCCUCGAAACUUGACGUAGGAAAAACGAAUUUGUAUCUCAAGCCGAAGACGACCGCGACAAGUACCGAAUCAAUGCGGAUAAUAACCGUCGUCGAACAUCCAACGGAAGAAACGAACACUGUGUCAAAAACUCUUUUGGAUUCGGGGGAAGAUGACUCGAAAUCAGAGAUUGAUCGAAAAUAUACCGAAUCUAAUUCCGUCACCGCUGAAAUAAAGCGGGUUUUUGGUGCCACUGGUGACUUCCGAUCGAUAUUGACCACCGGGGAGGAAGGAAACGAUCAACAACUUUUUAACACGACAUUGAAAAAUUUGGAUACUCUUUUUGAAGGAUCCACUCGGACGAAUAUUACCGCGCAGAAUAAUUUCGUGACGGAAAUAACUACGGCUGAGAAUAAUAACAGAGAAAUUGGAAGUACAGCUAUGAGUAACAUUGAAAGCGGAGUUUACGGUACGAUGAAUAAUAUCGGAGUUGGAAUUACUACUCGGAUUAAUUCUCAAUCCGAAACCACGUGGAAGAGUAUCUUUGAAGCAGGAAUUACAAUCGAGAAUGAUACUGAAACGAAAUUUCAUGCAGCGAAGAAUAAUUCUGGGUUUGAAAAUAGGACUCGGAUUAAUUCCGAGUUUGAAAACGCAACGAAGAAAAUUUCCGAGCCUGAAAACACUACUGAGAUUGAUAACGAAUCGAGUAUUUAUGGGACGAUGAGUAGCUCGGAACCUGGAAUUAGGGCUGAGAAUAAUUCCGGAAUCGGGAUUAAAAUCAAUUACAAUAAUACCGAAACGGAAAUUGUGACUACAGGAAAUAAUUUUUCAACGAUAAUCACAACUGAAAAAAGUAACAUUCAAACACCGAUAGCUGCGAAGAAUAAUUCCGAUGCAAAAUUUACCAUCAAUAAUGAAAGCGAUGUAAAUGUUGAAACAAAAAUUACAACUUUAAGAAACGAUAUUGAAACAGAGAAUUCAACCACAGAGAAUAAUGUUGAAAUUGGAAUCACGGUUGAAAAUGAAUCUGGAAUUAAAACUAGCUUUGCAAAGAAUGAUUUCGAAACGGAAAAAAUCUCGCAUUCGUCACAAUUUCCCGGCACGUCGAUCGAGUUUUCAACGGUAUCACAAUUCUCGGAGAAAAUCAACGGCAAUCCAGACGGUUAUCGAAUGAUCUCUGACAGGUUUCACGAAUCGUUGGAAUCGACGACCGUUUCGAGUCGCCACGUCGCAGGAAUCCGCGAUAUUCCUUACAGCGCCACGAGUGAGGAAAAUGACCCGGAUAUUCCGUCGGUCACGAAACCGGAAGACGGUGACAAAAUCGCAGGAAAUUCCGGCGACGAAGAGGCCGAACCUUCAAUUCACUCCCAAACUACGACGACGACGACGACGAUUUUUCAUCCCUCUUCGACUGAUCGUGGAAUUCCGGUUCGGGAUGCGAAGAAGGUGCAGGUGAUACUGAAAAUCGGCGACAUCGAGUUAUCGCCCUACAACGGCAUGACCAGAUCUACCGAAGUGGGCCUGGUGAAAAUACCGGGUUCAAAAAAUGGUCGCAAAGAAUUUUCGGGACCAACGAAUUACGUUUCGAGAAUUUACAACGUAAACGACAACGAGGCGGCGAUCGAAGAGGAGGGCGAAAACGAAGACUCGGUCAAUCCGAAAUCGUCUUACAACGACCCGUACAGUUACGCAAAAAAUUUCGACAGCGAUCAUCCCCAUCGUCAUCUUCCUCGGUAUCACCGUUUCGACGAAUCGUUGGAUUCAGGCGAGUCGAAGGCGUCUUGGGAAAAUUAUCGCUCGAAGAAUUUUCCCCAUCCGCAAGUUCGAGUUCCGGUAAAAAGAGGCGGCCACAAUACCAAUAUCGAAAAAUUGUACAGGUGGUUCUACAGGACCGGUCAGGAAGCCGAAAAUCCGGAUCUUUCAAGACGGGGUUUGCUGGUCAGGUACAUAGCGAAACCGGAAAUCAGGUGCAAGGAAUUGGCUAAAGUCCGAGGGGAUCGAUGAACGACUUUGAACUUCCGCAUCGAAGAACAUCCGUGGCAAGAAGAAGGGAUAAUAAAAGGAAUAGGAAGGGACAAUAGGACGAGGGAUGAAAAAAAAUGGAGAGGACAUUGUAACGUUGGAUUUUGCGUCUAUUCCAUUCUAUUCCAUCUCAUUCCAAACCAAACUCAGGAACGAAGCAGCGAACCGACCAACCUGGAGGAAAAGGGUUUGGAUGUUAGCCAGAAGUCGAACUAUUCUGAAACGGACCGGAAAUACAGACGAGCAAAGGUGGGGACGAGGACUGGUUUCGGGGGUUGAAAAAGAGACGAGCUACCCACCCGAAAUAUUUCUCUGCAGAGUGCAGUUUUCCGAUUUUACUGCUGGCUCCGCGAAUCAGGCGAAACCGAUGAAGCGAAAGUUUAUUCGAACAAACAAGACGGAUCGUUGGACUUUGCUUCAAGUAUUUGCUGCGACGUCUCGGCAUCGCUUUUCGCUAAGUCCGGCGAGGAACGGAUCAGAGAAGAGCAGAGCUGCAAUAGAAAAUAUUUCCUCCUCUCUGCCUCGAUUCCUUACUUAAAUUCUACUCCCGUUUUCUUGAUUACGAAUUGAUUAUUCUCAGACGUUCCGUAAUAACGCGACUGUUUACGACGCUGCCGAGAUUUGAUGCAAUGAUUUCAUAUAUUAAAUGUAUGUGGUGCGUAUGUAAUGUAUAUGCGAAUGUUGUCUGUUUACAUGUAUCAUGUAAAAGGUAUAAAAGGUGAGUUGUUCUUCAUUCUCUUAUUUUGUUGAAAGCCAAGAAUCAUUUGGAAUUGGCAAUUUUUCCAUCGAGUUGAGGGUUUCAGCGAUUCGAUCACUUCGAAAUUUAUCACUCCUGAUUAAUUUUUGUUAUUAGAAUUACGAAUGAAACAUGGAAAUGCGUCUGUGAUAGCAAGUGAUUAGACCUUGUAUAGUGCUUACAAUGAACAUUUUUUACACUGGUGUCAUGAUCGUUUCGAUAAAUAAAUAAUUGAGACUACAAACCUAAGAUACUGAAUUAAGCUUGUCUUUAUACAUACAAGUACAUUUGUAUAAUAUAAUAUAUAAUAUAAUAAUAAUAAGAUGAUUAUUUUUUUGGAUUGAUUGAGUAUUACCGUUGUAUAUAAGAGUAUGAUUGUAAAAUGAAAUAAUUUAUCACUCCUGAUUUACUGUUGUCAUUAGCAUUACGAAUGAAAUAGUGAAAUGCGUCUGUGAUAGCAAGUGAUUAGACCUUGUAUAGUGCUUACAAUGAACAUUUUUUACACUUGUGUCAUGAUCGUUCCGAUAAAUAAAUAAUUAAGACUACAAACCUAAGAUACUAAAUUAAGCUUGUCUUUAUACAUACAAGUACAUUUGUAUAAUAAGAUGAUGAUUAUUUUGGAUUUAUUGAGUAUUACCGUUGUAUAUAAGAGUAUGAUUGUAGAAUGAAAUAAUUUAUCACUCCUGAUUUAU